Molecule: ribosomal RNA, 414 nt
Filed under: uncultured prokaryote
Description: bacterial SSU rRNA
Rfam family: Bacterial small subunit ribosomal RNA
Source: RNAcentral
GUGUCAGCAGCCGCGGUAAUACAGAGGGUGCGAGCGUUAAUCGGAAUUACUGGGCGUAAAGCGCGCGUAGGCGGUUUGUUAAGUCGGAUGUGAAAUCCCCGGGCUCAACCUGGGAAUUGCAUUCGAUACUGGCAAGCUAGAGUAUGGGAGAGGAAGGUAGAAUUCCAGGUGUAGCGGUGAAAUGCGUAGAGAUCUGGAGGAAUACCGAUGGCGAAGGCAGCCUUCUGGCCUAAUACUGACGCUGAGGUGCGAAAGCAUGGGGAGCAAACAGGAUUAGAUACCCUGGUAGUCCAUGCCGUAAACGAUGUCAACUAGCCGUUGGGGGAUUUGAUCCUUUAGUGGCGCAGCUAACGCGAUAAGUUGACCGCCUGGGGAGUACGGUCGCAAGACUAAAACUCAAAGGAAUUGACGGGG